GAAUUCUAGAAGGUCCUACUGCAGUGCAAGAGGCAUUACUGCAGGUAUAAAAUCAAAGGCCCUUUCCUCAAGAGUAAUUCCAGCUGGAAAAGGACAGCCUUCCUCAAUAUCUCCUACCCAGAGGUUCCACCCUGUGCUUCCCAUGCCCUGUCCAUGCCCGGCCUGCCCAAAGCACAGCCACCCCAGAACACAAGGUGGCCGCUGCAGGAUCACUUUAAAUGAGAGGAAUCAGAAUCUUUGGAUCACCACAGAUGCCCCACAGGAAGCCCAGGAUCUCUGUAUCAUAAAGAAUUCAGAAUUGACAGUUUACAGUCUACAGAGAAGAGUGAAUAUUGUUACAAAGUUGGAACCAUGCACCAAAUGCUAACAUUAGCCUUGAAACUCAGUGUCAAAAGAACAAGACAACAACAAAAUUCAAACAAAGCUGAUUAGGAAUUUGACUAAGCAGUUUCAAAUUAAAUAGAGGAAGCAGAAGUGGAGAAAAUGGUCCUAUUUACGAGAAAGUUGAUUAGAAACUAAAUAUGGAACGCAGAUUAAAGUAGUCACUAACAAAUUUAGCAGUGGAUUCUAAAUACAGGCUCACAGUCUCAGAGGGAAACUGAAAAGCUAUUAAAUUAACUUAAGGCAAGUUUUAUGGUGUAAAUUAUUGAGUUUAUA
This 657-nucleotide long non-coding RNA is filed under the name Vulpes vulpes (red fox). RNAcentral describes it as "lncRNA (ENSVVUG00000020866.1)". Lineage: Eukaryota; Metazoa; Chordata; Mammalia; Carnivora; Canidae. The record is from RNAcentral.